Molecule: microRNA precursor, 55 nt
Filed under: Monodelphis domestica (gray short-tailed opossum)
Lineage: Eukaryota; Metazoa; Chordata; Mammalia; Didelphimorphia; Didelphidae
Description: microRNA mdo-mir-7374b precursor
Source: miRBase by way of RNAcentral
AAGCCCUUACCCAUCUCUCUGAUAUAUUUGAAUCAGAUAGAAGGGAAGGGGUUGC